Long non-coding RNA from Echinops telfairi (small Madagascar hedgehog), 526 nucleotides. RefSeq lists it as uncharacterized. The transcript has 4 exons. The record is from RefSeq and is a predicted model, not a curated record. NCBI's taxonomy places the organism in Eukaryota, Metazoa, Chordata, Mammalia, Afrosoricida, Tenrecidae.
CCGGGCUGUGCAAAGCAGGACUGCUUGGUUUCCAUGGAGAUACUGCUAGUUAGGCUAUGGAAAUCCUGAAAAGGCCAGGGGAUGAGUGACAAUACAAGGAUGUAGCGGCUGAUCUGAAGAGCCAGACUGAAUUAAUGAGAUUCUGCAAGGCUAGCACAGUAUGGCUCUUAGACCCUCGUUUUUUCAGCUGCAGUCUUGAAAACAGAAAUGGAUGGAUGGACGGACAGACGAAUGGAUUGGUGGCCAGACAGAUAGGAAUCAUUGUGAUGGAAUAAACUCUGACUAUGGCCACCUUUUGUACAACAGAGCCAAAGGUCUCCUUUGCCUGUGCCAUUUUCACGGCUACUGGAUCUUGGGACAGAAAAGAAACAUGUGAAAGUGAAGGCACUUUGAAGGAAAAUUCUCUUCAAGACUCUUCAAACUAAUGAAAGCAGAUUUACAGACUCUGCCAGGAACAGAGAAGUUGGAUGAUACCUAUGCUCAGACUAACUCUAUUUCUAAAAAUAAAGCCCAGCCUCUCAGUCUA